UGGGAUGUGGCUCAACUGGUAGCGUGCUCGCCUGGCAUGCGUGAGGCACUGGGUUCAAUCCUCAGCACCACAU
Molecule: transfer RNA, 73 nt
Filed under: Ictidomys tridecemlineatus (thirteen-lined ground squirrel)
Lineage: Eukaryota; Metazoa; Chordata; Mammalia; Rodentia; Sciuridae
Description: Spermophilus tridecemlineatus (thirteen-lined ground squirrel) tRNA
Rfam family: tRNA
About the family: Transfer RNA (tRNA) molecules are approximately 80 nucleotides in length. Their secondary structure includes four short double-helical elements and three loops (D, anti-codon, and T loops). Further hydrogen bonds mediate the characteristic L-shaped molecular structure. tRNAs have two regions of fundamental functional importance: the anti-codon, which is responsible for specific mRNA codon recognition, and the 3' end, to which the tRNAs corresponding amino acid is attached (by aminoacyl-tRNA synthetases). tRNAs cope with the degeneracy of the genetic code in two manners: having more than one tRNA (with a specific anti-codon) for a particular amino acid; and 'wobble' base-pairing, i.e. permitting non-standard base-pairing at the 3rd anti-codon position.
Source: Rfam by way of RNAcentral